CUCUUUCCAUUCCUCCCUCCUCCUCGUCUUGCCGCCGCAAGGUAAGCCACUCCACGCCAUAGCCGUCGCCAACGCCAUGCCCAAGCUCUACUCUGGCGCGAUCAAGCUCGUCGUCGUCGUCUUCUUCCUCGGGGAGCGACGCACGCGUCCCCGACUUUGUCCCCGUCUCCGUCCCCGACCGAUUCCGAUGGGUGGCUGGACUGGAUCGCCUCCCACGCUGUCGUCCACGUCUUUGUCUUCUUCCUCUACCUCCUCUACGUCAUGAACGCCGGCUCCUCUGCUUCCCCGUCGUCAACCUCGUACGACUCCAGCAGCACCCCCACGGUGAAGCCCCGCUCCUCCCCAACUCUCUCUCCGUUUGAAUUCUGUCGCCAUAGCUCUCCCGCAAGCCGCACCGUGUCGCACCACCUAGCUUCAGCCGCCCACCUCGUCGUGCUUCGCUGCCAGGGCCACAAGCACGCAGAAUCCCUGUUCACCCAUGCUUCAGCACGCUCUCUGACACCUCGCCGCGCCCUGCCUGGCUGCUUGCCUCGUCUCGCAUACCCAUCUCCCCUGCCUCACCGCGCCAUGUCGGGACCCCGAGCCGAGCAACGCUAGAGCUUGUGCGCCCCGCAACCUCCGCCUGCGUGAGCCGAAGCCCCCCUCCAACCCGCACACCCUUGCAUCUCGAGCACGCCGGGAAGCAUGUCCGGAGAGGUAGCUCUGCAUCCUCUGUUUCUUUGCACGCGCACACCUGAAGCCUCGCUCGUCGUCUUGCAUAUCUCUGCAGACGCCGUGCCCGAAGCGAGCAUGAGCUCGUCCUCGAGAUCCCGCACACCCGAGCCUUCUGCACGACCUAUCCAUUCUUGCGCAUGCCCACAACACAGCUUGUGCCCCACGUCUGUGUUGCCCGCCCGUGUCGUCGCUUCAACCAGCAUCGCCAGCCCCAUGCCUCGAUGUGCCCGAAUCGAGCUCCUGCUCGUGCCCGAGCGCACGCACGCACACGACACCGAGAAGCAGCGGCCGUUUGCUCCCGCGCACGCAUGUUGUUCCCGCACGCCCGCUGCCGCCUACGGAGCCCUUCCGUGCCGCCGUUGAUCGUCGGCGACGACGCCAUCUCCUUUGUCUCCGUAGAAGAAGCCAAGCCAGGCCUUGAACUGGUUUAAAUCAGCUAGGCCGCACCUUCUGUCAAACUAUCACAGUCUAGCCCAGUCGCUCAACCCUCUCUGGCUUACCCAGCAGACCCGGGUUCGAAUCUCCAUGUGGCCAGUGGUGAGAAUGCCCAAUUUUUGCCAUUUUGGUUUCUAUGUCAGUAGACCCCACUCGUCAUCCUCUCUGCCCACACAGCCUCCCGUCCACACCCACACUCCUGCCACCUCGGCACGCCGGGCCCUCUCGUCAUUGACAGUGGCUGGCUCAGCCCGUGUUCCCCUGUUGUUUUAUUUUCUUUGGCAUAAUUUUAGAAAAAGUCCCUGUUUUGUUUUGUUAAUAACUAAAUAUGUAUGCAUCCAAAUUAAUCAAACUGUAUAUGUAAAAUGCUUAGAAUUUUAUCUAGUUUCAUAAUAUGCAUCAUUCAUCCCUGUUUAAAAUGUUUAACUUGCUGUUUAAAUUAAUUUGCUGAAUGCCAUGCUAAAAUGAUUUAUUUCAUAACUAAAUAACCGUAGCUCCGAAUUUAAUAAACUUUAUAUGUAAAUGGGGUGGAAAAAUGCAUAGGUUAACAUGGUAGCAUUAUUUGGCAUGUUUAGCAACUCUAAAAUUAUGUAAUAGGCAGAACAGUACCGAAUCUAAAAUAUGCACAUGGGGAUUUUUCGGAAUUGUUGCUUGUUGUUCCAGCCUCAUUUAAACUUGCCUAGAUAGGUAGAUUAAUUAUGCUUCACCUCUUGCCAUGUUUAACAAUAUUUAAUAUUGUUUGGUAGCUUAAACGAGAUUGAACUAAAUAUGUCCAUGUGGUGUUUUGUCAAUAUGCAACUCGUUGCAUGUUGAGCUCCACUUAAUUUGUAGGAUUGUUUGUGCACUUUUCCAUGCCAUGCCUCAUUAAACCGGACAUGCAUCAUACUUGAUUGUGCAUCAUGCCAUGUUUAUGCUUGGUGUUUACCAUGUUGUUUCCUUCUUUCCGGUUUGCUUCUCUCGUUAGCUUCGGUUUUGUUCCGGAGUUGUGAGGAUUCGUUCGACUACGUUGGUUCGUCUACUUCAUGGACUCGUUCUUCUUCCUAGCGGGAUUUCAGGCAAGAUGACCGCUACCCUGGAUCUCACUACUAUCAUUGCUAUGCUAGUUGUUUCGUUCUAUCGCUAUGCUGCGGUACCUAUCACCUGUUUAUCAAGCCUCCCAUAUUGCCAUGAACCUCUAACCUUUGACACCCUUCCUAGCAAACCGUUGCUUGGCUAUGUUACCGCUUUGCUCAGCCCUCUUAUAGCAUUGCUAGUUGCAGGUGAAGUUGAAGAUUUCUCCAUGGUGCACAGGAUUUUGGUUGGGAUAUCACAAUAUCUCUUAUAUUAUUAAUGCAUCUAUAUAUUUGGUAAAGGGUGGAAGGCUCGGCCUUAUGCCUGGUGUUUUUUUCCACUCUUGCCGCCCUAGUUUCCGUCAUACCGGUGUUAUGUUCCCGGAUUUUGCGUUCCUUACGCGGUCGGGUGAUUUAUGGGACCCCCUCGACAGUUCGCUUUGAAUAAAACUCCUCCAGCAAGGCUCAACAUUGGUUUUACCAUUUGCCUCACCAUCACCUACAUUUCCCUUGGGAGUAAUUAACCCGAGGGUCAUCUUUAUUUUUAGCCCCCCCCCGGGCCAGUGCUUGUCUAAGUGUUGGUCCAAACCGAGCGAUGUAUGGCGCCCCCUGGGCAACCAGGGUCUAUGCCAACCCGUCGUCUUGCUCAUCCGGGGUGCCCUGAGAACGAGAUAUGUGCAGCUCCUAUCGGGAUUUGUCGGCACAUCGGGCGGCUUUGCUGGUCUUGUUUUACCAUUGUCAAAAUGUCUUGUAAACCGGGAUUCCGAGUCUGAUCGGGUCUUCCUGGGAGAAGGUCUAUUCCUUCGUUGAUCGCGAGAGCUUGUCAUGGGCUAAGUUGGGACACCCCUGCAGGGUGUAAACUUUCGAAAGCCGUGCCUGCAGUUAUAGGCAGAUGGGAAUUUGUUAAUGUCCGGUUGUAGAUAACUUGACACCAGAUCCGAAUUAAAACACAUCAACCGUGUGUGUAGCCGUGAUGGUCUCUUUUCGGCGGAGUCCGGGAAGUGAACACGGUUUAUGGGUUAUGUUUGACGUAAGUAGGAGUUCAGGAUCACUUCUUGAUCAUUGCUAGUUUCACGACCGUUCCAUUGCUCCUCUUCUCGCUCUUAUUUGCGUAUGUUAGCCACCAUAUAUGCUUAGUCGCUGCUGCAACCUCACCACUUUACCCCUUCCUUUCCCUUUAAGCUUUGCUAGUCUUGAUACCCAUGGUAAUGGGAUUGCUGAGUCCUCGUGGCUCACAGAUUACUACAACAACAGUUGCAGGUACAGGUUAUGCGAUGAUCAUGACGCAAGAGCGAUGCUUGUUUGCAUUGAGAUCUUCUUCUGCUCCUUCGAUCAAGGGAUAGGUUCCAGGUCGGCAGCCUGGGCUAGCAGGGUGGAUGUCGUUUCAGUUUCUGUUUGUGUUUCAUCCGUAGUCGGAUGAUGCUCUGAUGUAUUGUGAUGUUCUAUUCAUGUGGCAUUGAUGUAAUGAUAUCCACCUUGCAAAAGCGUUUCAAUAUGCGGGUCUAUCCUUGGUGGGACCUUCGAGUUCCUUUUGGAUAGGGUCGCAUAUUGGGCGUGACAACCGACAUGUCAACUCGGUGGGACCGGUAUGGUUAGGGUUAGGGCAUAACGUAAUCUCGGUGAGACCGAUUACAUAACACAAGUGUAGGCUACGCAUUACUAAACCCGAGCGAUCGAUUCCUUCGCUACUGCGGCUAACUAAAGUCGAUCGAUGCUGCCUCUCUAGAUCAACAGUGAGCGUUGCGGGGUGGUUUGGAUGAACAGUGAGCGGUGGGAGUGGAUGAACAGGACCCGUGGCGUUACCUCUGGAUGAACAGGACCCCGUGGUGUGGAGGGCUGGAUGAACAGGACGACCCCGUGGAGGGUUGGAUGAACAGUAGACGGUGGAGGGGUGGAUGAACAGUAGCCCGUGGAGGGGUGGUUGAAUAGGAGCCCGUGGAGAGGGGUGGCUGAACAUUAGCCGGUGGAGUAGUGCGCGGUGGAGGCUGGAUGAACAGGAGCCCGUGGAUGAACAGUCACAGGUGGAGGCUAGAGGUGGUCGUCGGUGGAUGAACAGUAGCCCGUGGAGGCUGGAUGAGGUCGAC
This 4282-nucleotide long non-coding RNA is filed under the name Triticum aestivum (bread wheat). Its description in RNAcentral is "long non-coding RNA (TAES_LNC015684)". Lineage: Eukaryota; Viridiplantae; Streptophyta; Magnoliopsida; Poales; Poaceae. The record is from RNAcentral.